RNAcentral lists this ribosomal RNA (485 nucleotides) under Ralstonia sp. 'ARUP UnID 565'. RNAcentral describes it as "bacterial SSU rRNA". It matches the Rfam family "Bacterial small subunit ribosomal RNA", at positions 30 to 504 of the family's 1533-position model. Lineage: Bacteria; Pseudomonadati; Pseudomonadota; Betaproteobacteria; Burkholderiales; Burkholderiaceae. The record is from RNAcentral.
UGAACGCUGGCGGCAUGCCUUACACAUGCAAGUCGAACGGCAGCGGGGGAAAGCUUGCUUUCCUGCCGGCGAGUGGCGAACGGGUGAGUAAUACAUCGGAACGUGCCCUGUAGUGGGGGAUAACUAGUCGAAAGAUUAGCUAAURCCGCAUACGACCUGAGGGUGAAAGUGGGGGACCGCAAGGCCUCAUGCUAUAGGAGCGGCCGAUGUCUGAUUAGCUAGUUGGUGGGGUAAAGGCCUACCAAGGCGACGAUCAGUAGCUGGUCUGAGAGGACGAUCAGCCACACUGGGACUGAGACACGGCCCAGACUCCUACGGGAGGCAGCAGUGGGGAAUUUUGGACAAUGGGGGCAACCCUGAUCCAGCAAUGCCGCGUGUGUGAAGAAGGCCUUCGGGUUGUAAAGCACUUUUGUCCGGAAAGAAAUCGCACUGGUUAAUACCUGGUGUGGAUGACGGUACCGGAAGAAUAAGGACCGGCUAACUAC